CCUUUAAGUCCCUGUGUAUAUAAGACUCGACCGAAGAGGUCAUUUAUUGUAUCAAACGGUAUGUAUGGAUGUAAGACUCUAUUAUUCAGUAUCUGUGUUCAGUGAGCAUUGAUCCUUGGGAUCACUGGGCACGGUGAUCUCGACUUACCAGUCGGGGUCCCCACAGAACUGGUAUCAGAGCCAUCCUCACUAUAGGAAGCCCUUAGUUAGCAUGGACGUUAGUUAGGGUAAAACUGCUUUCCAGAUCCUUCAAAAUACUUACAAAACUUACAUAUUUCCUCAACUCUCCUAAAACUUCAAAGAAAUUGAAGGUUAUGCUCUAGCCUUCCACUCUUAUUUUCUUGGC
RNAcentral lists this long non-coding RNA (346 nucleotides) under Hordeum vulgare. RNAcentral's name for it is "long non-coding RNA (HVUL_LNC019382)". Lineage: Eukaryota; Viridiplantae; Streptophyta; Magnoliopsida; Poales; Poaceae. The record is from RNAcentral.